GGGAUGUAGCUUAAUGGUAGAGUGCUUGCCUAGCAUGCGUGAGGCCCUGGGUUCAAUCCCCAGUACACA
This 69-nucleotide transfer RNA is filed under the name Marmota monax (woodchuck). RNAcentral describes it as "tRNA.Ala". The stretch from base 5 to 65 matches the Rfam family "tRNA", at positions 6 to 65 of the family's 71-position model. Rfam says of the family: Transfer RNA (tRNA) molecules are approximately 80 nucleotides in length. Their secondary structure includes four short double-helical elements and three loops (D, anti-codon, and T loops). The record is from RNAcentral. Lineage: Eukaryota; Metazoa; Chordata; Mammalia; Rodentia; Sciuridae.